GGGCCCGCACAAGCGGAGGAGCAUGUGGUUUAAUUCGAUGAUACGCGAGGAACCUUACCAAGGCUUAAAUGUAAUAUGACCGGUUGAGAGAUCAACCUUUUUUCGAACAGAUUACAAGGUGCUGCAUGGUUGUCGUCAGCUCGUGCCGUGAGGUGUCGGGUUAAGUCCCAUAACGAGCGCAACCCCUAUUUUUAGUUACCAGCGAGUAAUGUCGGGAACUCUAGAAAACUGCCUGUGCAAACAGAGAGGAAGGUGGGGAUGACGUCAAAUCAUCACGGCCCUUAUGUCUUGGGCUACACACGUGCUACAAUGGUUACUACAAUGUGAUGCCAUCUGGUGACAGAGAGCUAAUCAAUAAAGGUAAUCUCAGUUCGGAUCGGAGUCUGCAACUCGACUCUGUGAAGUUGGAUUCGCUAGUAAUCGUAUAUC
RNAcentral lists this ribosomal RNA (429 nucleotides) under uncultured bacterium. Its description in RNAcentral is "bacterial SSU rRNA". It matches the Rfam family "Bacterial small subunit ribosomal RNA", at positions 917 to 1350 of the family's 1533-position model. The record is from RNAcentral.